RNAcentral lists this ribosomal RNA (249 nucleotides) under uncultured Rubellimicrobium sp. RNAcentral's name for it is "partial 16S ribosomal RNA". It matches the Rfam family "Bacterial small subunit ribosomal RNA", at positions 355 to 621 of the family's 1533-position model. Lineage: Bacteria; Pseudomonadati; Pseudomonadota; Alphaproteobacteria; Rhodobacterales; Roseobacteraceae. The record is from RNAcentral.
UGGGGAAUCUUGGACAAUGGGGGCAACCCUGAUCCAGCCAUGCCGCGUGGGUGAUGAAGGCCUUAGGGUCGUAAAGCCCUUUCGCCGGGGAAGAUAAUGACGGUACCCGGUAAAGAAGCCCCGGCUAACUCCGUGCCAGCAGCCGCGGUAAUACGGAGGGGGCUAGCGUUGUUCGGAAUGACUGGGCGUAAAGCGCGCGUAGGCGGAUCGGAAAGUUGGGGGUGAAAUCCCGGGGCUCAACCUCGGAAU